GAGCGGUAACAGGUCUUCGGAUGCUGACGAGUGGCGAACGGGUGAGUAAUACAUCGGAACGUGCCCAGUAAUGGGGGAUAGCUCGGCGAAAGCCGGAUUAAUACCGCAUACGCCCUGAGGGGGAAAGUGGGGGAUCGCAAGACCUCACGUUAUUGGAGCGGCCGAUGGCUGAUUAGCUAGUUGGUAGGGUAAAGGCCUACCAAGGCGACGAUCAGUAGCUGGUCUGAGAGGACGAUCAGCCACACUGGGACUGAGACACGGCCCAGACUCCUACGGGAGGCAGCAGUGGGGAAUUUUGGACAAUGGGGGAAACCCUGAUCCAGCAAUGCCGCGUGUGCGAAGAAGGCCUUCGGGUUGUAAAGCACUUUUGUCAGGGAAGAAAUCCUUUGGGCUAAUACCCUAGGGGGAUGACGGUACCUGAAGAAUAAGCACCGGCUAACUACGUGCCAGCAGCCGCGGUAAUACGUAGGGUGCAAGCGUUAAUCGGAAUUACUGGGCGUAAAGCGUGCGCAGGCGGUUGUGUAAGACAGGUGUGAAAUCCCCGGGCUUAACCUGGGAAUUGCAUUUGUGACUGCACGACUAGAGUGUGUCAGAGGGGGGUGGAUUCCACGUGUAGCAGUGAAAUGCGUAGAUAUGUGGAGGAACACCAAUGGCGAAGGCAGCCCCCUGGGAUAACACUGACGCUCAUGCACGAAA
RNAcentral lists this ribosomal RNA (696 nucleotides) under uncultured beta proteobacterium. RNAcentral's name for it is "bacterial SSU rRNA". It matches the Rfam family "Bacterial small subunit ribosomal RNA", at positions 64 to 758 of the family's 1533-position model. The record is from RNAcentral. Lineage: Bacteria; Pseudomonadati; Pseudomonadota; Betaproteobacteria.